Molecule: long non-coding RNA, 480 nt
Organism: Ornithodoros turicata
Lineage: Eukaryota; Metazoa; Arthropoda; Arachnida; Ixodida; Argasidae
Exons: 2
Source: RefSeq, a predicted model, not a curated record
UAGCUGGAGGAAAGCAAAUUGCAAGAGCUAAAGGGGUCAAAAAGAAUAUUGUACGCAAGCACCUCCUCCAUGAGACAUACUACAAUACCUUGUUCAAUCACACGAGCGUAUCGAAUGAACAAGUAUCAAUCGUUGGAAAGAAGCAGUGUAUGUACACCAUCAGAAAUGUCAAAAGAAGUCUGAUGGCAUACGACGACAAGAGAUACCUGUGCAAUGACGUCGACUCCUAUCCUUAUGGAAGCUACGAAUACGAAGAUGUGCAGGAAGAGAAUUAAUGCUUCUGUCACAUACUGUUCUCUCCUGCGGUUUGCCUCUGGGUCAUGGACAGAGAAGGACGAGUGCCUGGGUGAUCCACAUUGUUCUUAUGCGAAAAAUGCCAUGGAUGCGAGCGGAGAUGUACAGCGUGCAUGGAUGUGUCCCCAGGGAGAACUGCAAUAUCUCCGAGACUGCCAUGAUGUACUCAAUAAACAUUGAAAACUA